CACCAACAACAACAACAACAACAACAACAACAACAACAAUGGAAGGUUGAAAUGAGAUCAGGAAUUUUUAGCAUAUUAAUAAAACACUUUAAUAAUGAAAUUGCAACCAGACACAUAAAUACAACAAUACAUUAUACAGAAUAUACAUCACGAGGAGGAGGAGGAGGAGGAGGAGGAGGAGGAGGGGGGGAGGUGGGGAGGAGGAGGAAUCAAUACAGUAAGUUGAUUAGAUUUGCUUCAGGGACAGGCAGAGAGAGAGAGAGAGAGAGAGAGAGAGAGAGAGAGAGAGAGAGAGAGAGAGAGAGAGAGAGAGAGAGAGAGA
Portunus trituberculatus (swimming crab) is the source of this 322-nucleotide long non-coding RNA. RefSeq lists it as uncharacterized. The transcript has 2 exons. The record is from RefSeq and is a predicted model, not a curated record. Lineage: Eukaryota; Metazoa; Arthropoda; Malacostraca; Decapoda; Portunidae.